This 334-nucleotide long non-coding RNA is filed under the name Homo sapiens (human). RNAcentral's name for it is "non-protein coding lnc-MYOM2-9:1". Lineage: Eukaryota; Metazoa; Chordata; Mammalia; Primates; Hominidae. The record is from RNAcentral.
CCAGGGCCAGAAGUCAGAAAUAAGGCUGAAAUUGGGCGGGCACGGUGGCUCAUGCCUGUGAUCCCAGCAUUUUGGGAGGCUGAGGUGGGUGGAUCACGAGGUCUAGAGUUCAAGACAAGCCUGGAAAAUAUGGUGAAACCCCGUCUCUACUGAAAAUACAAAAAUUAGCUGGGCAUGGUGGGGUGCUAAGGCAGCGGGGAGAGGCUUUGAUGGCAGCUGAGAUACGGGGAAGAUGCCUUUGCACUGGACACCUCCACGGCCUCCCUGCCUCCUGGGGGACCUCAGGCUGUUUCGAGUCACCCAGGGCUCUUGCAUCCUGCCUGCCUUCGUCCCC